RNAcentral lists this ribosomal RNA (444 nucleotides) under Thraustochytriidae sp. Its description in RNAcentral is "SSU rRNA". It matches the Rfam family "Eukaryotic small subunit ribosomal RNA", at positions 982 to 1449 of the family's 1831-position model. The record is from RNAcentral. Lineage: Eukaryota; Bigyra; Thraustochytrida; Thraustochytriidae.
ACCAGACGAUGCGGGAUCGAAGAUGAUUAGAUACCAUCGUAGUUUUAACCAUAAACUAUGCCGACUGAGGAUUCUUGAAAUUUGUAAAUGAAUUUAAGAGCACUCCAUGAGAAAGCAAAGUCUUUGGGUUCCGGGGGGAGUAUGUUCGCAAGAAUGAAACUUAAAGGAAUUGACGGAAGGGCACACCAGGAGUGGAGCCUGCGGCUUAAUUUGACUCAACACGGGAAAACUCACCAGGUCCAGACAAAGUAAGGAUUGACAGAUUGAGAGCUCUUUCUUGAUUCUUUGGGUGGUGGUGCAUGGCCGUUCUUAGUUGGUGGAGUGAUUUGUCUGGUUAAUUCCGAUAACGAACGAGACCACGGCCUACUAAAUAGGACAGGCUGUGGUAACAUAGUUUGAGCCUUCUUAGAGGGACAUUUCGGGUUUACCGGAAGGAAGUUCGAG